UUAACUCAAAUUUGUACGGAGUUGGAACGUUUGCCCACGUUUGCCACUAGGGGCGCUGUUUCAACUGCAUACUUUUAGUUA
Molecule: non-coding RNA, 81 nt
Organism: Bombyx mori (domestic silkworm)
Lineage: Eukaryota; Metazoa; Arthropoda; Insecta; Lepidoptera; Bombycidae
Source: Rfam